Dreissena polymorpha is the source of this 881-nucleotide long non-coding RNA. RefSeq lists it as uncharacterized. The record is from RefSeq and is a predicted model, not a curated record. NCBI's taxonomy places the organism in Eukaryota, Metazoa, Mollusca, Bivalvia, Myida, Dreissenidae. The transcript has 7 exons.
UGGCGUCUCAUCAGGAUCUAAACUGUUUGCUAUUCUGAUAGUAUUCUUUGAAAAAAAAGAAAGAAAAUGCUAAUUUUAGAAAUUCAGCAGAAGACAUUUUAGCAGACGACAAAUUUCCCAGCAUGCAAAGGGUUAAGAGAGAGGCUCUUGAACAUGUGCAUCUUUGAGAUAAGUCUGGGGAACAAGUCACGGGCGUAGGUACAUGUAGCUGCAUAUACCUUGUAGCCCGCGACGUAAUUUGGACAAUGCAAUUUUAUCAAUAAAUAAUGCUUGUAAUUUAUUAAAAUCUGAGUCGGCAAGGGGUAGGGAUCAGUUAUAAACUCGGAUAUUAUGUACAUAGUAACGAUAAGAAUGGGUAGAAGGAAGAUCACUUAAAAACCGAGAAUGAAUACCUGUCUUUUGAUUAUUGCGGGAAUACUGUGUGUAAUCGGAGUAUCAGACUAACUCCAGGACUCCGGGGGUCACUGGUUCGUGCUCUGAAUGGCUGUACUGCUACAUUUGUCAAUAUAUCACUGACCAGCAGGCGUGUGCAAACACAGUUCAGUGUUCAAACAAUGAGAUUCGUGUCAUUUGAUUUAUUAACAAGAUUAUCUUAAUACACGCUCUGCAGUUCCGAUGCCGUUGAUCCCAACGGUAUCAUUGGUCGCUCUAUCCAGACUAGACGGCGGUACUCUUGUCAUGAAUGUUGCAGCAGUAACCGAUGCAAUGCGCAGCUAUGUGUUCACACUAAACCAACAUCGUGCAUUGAUGACGAAACACUGGACUCUGCCCGUCUGAACUCUCUUUUCCACGUCUGUGCAGAUGUUCAUCACGCCAAAAUCACUUGUCCAAAGUUUUGCGGACUCUGUAACCUCGUUGAUGGCAAUUGGGCAGUAUGGGAU